Molecule: non-coding RNA, 5396 nt
Organism: Coturnix japonica (Japanese quail)
Lineage: Eukaryota; Metazoa; Chordata; Aves; Galliformes; Phasianidae
Source: RefSeq, a predicted model, not a curated record
UCAACUUGUCUUCAUAGGAGAAGUGCUCCAACCCUUUGAUCAUCUUCAUGGCCCUCUUCUGGACAGCACUCAAUAGACAUUAAACACAUUUGAGGGCUUGCUGAUUGAAUACAGGUGGGGAAAAAAAAGCACAAGCUCCUUUACAUUGUUAUGCUGUAUAAGCACCUUGCAUAAUUACCUUAGCCCUAACAUAAUUUUAAUUAUGUUAGAAUUAGUGCGAAGAAUUUUAUCUGAGACUGAUGUAAAUAUUUUUUGCUCUUACUACUUUGAUGUGCCUGGAAAGAGAUUAAGGUUUGCUUUGAUAAUUAGUGUGUUGCAUGUGGCCAAAAAAAUUCAUUACAAACACAGUUAAUUAAGUUGUCAACAAAGCUUUGGUCUCCAGUGGGUGAGAAUAACUCAAUAAUUUUGUUUGGCUUGAUGGGGGAUUUUCGUUUUAUUGCUGUCAGCCCUGCCUGUUGGUAGGGGCACAUGUCAGAAAGGUAUUUUCCAGGUGGUUAUGUAGCUGUACACAGUGUCCAUGGUGCCGCCAGGGCUGUAUUGCAGGGAAAGGAAAUGUCAGAUUUACACUUGGAAGCCCUGCAACUGUGUCCUCUGGAACACUUUCUUCCUCCAGUGUCACAGGAAGUCAGAUCUUUCCCCUCAAUAUCCUUAUCCAGUUGUAGGAUCUCAUGUUUGCCACCUGGGCAUGGAUGCAAUGCAUGGUUAGGGUUACAGGAAGGCUAGGGUGAGAGUGAAGGUUAGGGUCAGGUUUAAGGUUGUGUUUCAUUCUGUUUGCAUUGCCUUGCAUUGGGUAUGGGCUAGGAUUAGGGUUGCAUUGUAUUACUUUGGGUUCCAUUGCAUUGCUCUCUGUCCUACCCUGAUGCCAGCACCUCAGGAGCACAGACCUCACUGUGAUGGACUUCUCAGUGUUCCCAAGACUUUGAGCUGGUGCCUGAGAGCUGUUGCCACUGCUGUGCUUGGUCUCAGGUAGGUGAUGGGGAGCAUGGGGUUAGGGCAUCGCUCAAGCACUGAGUACCUCCAAGUGGCUCAUUUCCAUUUCAAAGAGCCCGUCUGUUUUAUCUGGCAAUUAGCUUGCACCCUCUAUAGAAAACGACUCCAUAAAAACAACCGAGCUCCCGGCCAAUCUCCCCUUUUAAAUAUUUUUUAAGUGCAUGAUUAAUACACUUCCCCAGCCCCUGUCUGGGACUGUGCGGGGAGGUCAGGGAGCAGGUAAAUGAAAGAAAAUGGCUUCACUCGGCAUUGACUGGGCUAUUAAUCACUGCCCAUUUUCUAUAAAUCGUGGCAGAUGGCAGAAACAGGCAGGUACUCAUGGGAAAUGACACACUGUGCAUGACGGGAAUUGUGGAUCACAGCCGAGGACCAGGAGAGGACGAGGUCGCUCCUUGCUGUGUGCGCCCUGCUUGCACCACACCUGCACUUCCCCUCCAUGUGACAGCAUUGUCUCACAAAAGGGGCUGCAAAGCUUCCUUGGGCAGCCUGUUCCAGCACAUUGCUGCUCUUUUGGAGAAUAAAUGUUUCCUAAAAGCCAUCCUGAACCUCCCCUGGCAUGACUUGAAGCCACUUUCUCUCAUCUUCUCGAAGCUGCCCAGGAGAAGAGGCUGACCCCCACCUCGCUACAGCCUCCCAACUGUUUGUCCGCAGUGAGUCCAUGGCAGCAGCUCAGGGUGGUGGAAGGUGGUUAUUUGUUUUGGAAGGCAUACAGUGGUACAUGUAUAAAUGCAGGAAAAAGAAGAAUUUAUAUGGAGAGGUACCACUGGGUGAGCAAAAGUGAUCCAGAGGACAAUAAAUGGGGUCUGCUGAUGGUCAGCAAGGAAGGAGAUGGAUAGAACUGUGACCCCCACGAGUGAGAUAGGACAAUGAUAGCCCUGCGUGAAAGUGUGUGAACUGUAGGGGUCCCAAAGCAGCCCCAAGGCCCUAUGGUGAGUUGGAGUUGUGGAGCAGCAGACAUGUGGGAUAUGUGAGAUGACUGUGCUGUAGCCAGGAAAGCUGCUCGUUAUAAGAGCAGGCUGGGUGAUGGGGAGGAUGGCACAGGGGCAUCAAGCACCAACUGGGUGGCCCUGGCAGUUGCUGAAGUUGUCAUUUCCAGUCCAAGGGCUGCUUGGAACCAAAGGAAAAGCACUGCAGGGGGGACAACCUGCUCCCCUUCCUUGGGGUCCUCUGGCCUCCAAGGGGCGAAAGCCCUUUUUCUGGCACCAGUGGCUCACUCUUCCAUUCAAUGCAUUAUUCAAACCGGAUGUUUUUCACCCCAAAGCAGGCUCAGACUGUGCUGUCCCAGUGCCCAGGUCCUGCUGCACACUUCAGGCUGGAAAAUCUGAGCCCAUGCAUUUUGGGGAGGGCUGGGCCUGUGUCCCCCACCCCUUCCUGCUCCCCCCGCCUGCCUCACGGGGGCCUAAUAUUUGUGCGUGUGUGUUUUAACGCGGCAUAUGGUCUUCAUUACAUGCAGACUUCUCACUUCCAUAAUUAUACCAUGAUGGGAGUUCCUGUCAAAGCCAUAAAGCAAAUUCUCUUCCCCCGCCCCAUCCCUCCGCCCCCACCAGCCCUCCCCAUAAAACUCACAGGGGUCCCAGUUUGCGAGGAGAAAGAAAACCCCAUUAACCCUUUACUCCCUCCAUUUAAGUGGGAAUGGAGAAAAGAGCUGUGAGGAAGGGGAUGGGUUGUGUGUAUCCAGAUUUUGGGCACGUGUGAAAGAGCAUGGCGAGGUGGUGGUGCCCAAAUUGUGCCACAGGGAGAGACAAGCCGUAACCUGGCUCAGUGCCCCUAUUGCUGCCUUUCUUGUGCUAUCCACCUCCAAAGUGUGAGCCCCUCUGGGUAGCGCCUGGCAGCUGUUUAACAGCACGCAGCGACGCUGCCCUGCAGUUUAGGACAGGAAAUGAAGGCGGCUGUAUCUGCAGGGGGAGUGAGGCCAGCAGACAGCAAUUACCUGUGUGGGAGCUUGGCCAGAGCUUUGCUCCUCCAAGAGCUGCCGUGGGGCUGGACGCUGACGGCCGGGGUGCAGGUGCUGGGCCCCGUAUGUGGCCAGGGUGGUGGGUAGCAGGAAAAGCUUGUGCACAAAUGGGAAAUACUGUUGAUUGUUUUGUUUUUGUUUAAAAUUAAAUGCUCUUUUAGUCUGUGAUGGAUCAGAAAAUGCGCUCGGCUGUCUCUAUGUAGAAGUACAACAUAUUGGAGAAGGCAUCUUUGCCCAGCGUGCUGACCUGGUGUUGCUUUGCUCUCUGCGAGAUGUAGGAUGUGCCCUGUAUGACUGCACAAGGCUUGUCCCAGCACCCCACAAGCGACCCUGCUCAUCUCAAUACUUGCCAAGGUCAAACUCAUCUGCACUGGCAGCUCCCUUAAUCCAAGGUAGGACAUAGACAGCAUGAAUGGAGAGUGGAGGAGGAUGACAGCAAGAGAUUUGCUACCUCAGGCAGGUGACAUUUUCCGUCGAGACCUCCAGUGCUUCCAGGGAGAGGAGAGAAGUGGCACAGACCUGUUCAAGAAGGCCUGAACACAUGGUGUUAGCUUCUCUGGUGAGAAAGGUCCUCUCUCAGGAAUAUGGCUCUCAUGGAUCCUGGAGGGAAAUGGGCUUUGUGGUCACAGACUGAGCUGGAGGGUACUCAGGUCUCAGCUGACUCCAUACUUCCUACACAGUGACCGUCUUGUGUGAAAAGCAAGGAGUUUCCCAGACAGUUUGUGACAUCAAGCAUCCGUGUUGGUGGGAAGGGAGGAGGAUGAGGCUCUACAUCAUUGUGAGUGCUACUGGACCCCCCAAAAGGCUGAGAGUUUGGAAAGCGUCUGCAUGAUCAGUUCCUUCCCUGAACUAUCUGUGCUGGAGGCUCGUGAAUCUUGGAAGGAAAGACCUUCUCAUGAGAUUUGUGGUGUGUCCAGUCCCAGCCAGAAAUACCACAAGAAAAGCCUCUCUUGGGGAGAUCCCAGCUCUGACCAGGAAAUAGAGUGAUGAGAGAGCAAGUAAAAUCCAGACGUGGCCCCUAUCUGCUUUACUGGAUUCUGGGAAACCAAGUUCUUUGUGGAGUACAGUUUUGUCGGGUAUCUUUCUCAAGCAUAUCUCUGCUUCGCAUUUGCCAGCUAUAAUUAAGUCAGGCCCACAUAUCAAAGCUAUGUGUGUGCAUCUGCAUGUACAUAAAGUUGCCAGCAGAUCACUUUUGCUUAUUUUUCUGCUCACAGAUGAGGAGCUGAGCUCACUCCCACAUUCAGCGAGAGCUCUGGCCCAGACAGCUGCCUUGGGAGAAGCAUUGGCUGUUCUCCUGGUGGGCAAGUGUUGCAUUUCUGAAUGACUUUAACAAGAAGUGCUUAAGUGCUUGAGUUUUGCACAUCCAAAGCAAUUGCUUCACAAACAAACAAGCUGGUUCUUGCCUCUGCUUUCUUGCACAGUUUUCCUUGCAGUGUUACCUUGCAGGUUGGCCUCGAAGCACAUGAAUCAAAUUAGAUUAGCUUCCUGCUAAGAGGGGCUGGAUGGUGUGAUCAGCAGCUACAGAGAGCGUAGAAGAUGCUUGCUGAAUUUUAAAGGUGGCAGACUCAGGCUCUGGAGGGGCAUUUGCAGGGAAGGAAGACAUCCUGAGUUUGCCAGCUCUGCUCUUCUCAUUAGAUGGCUGUGAAGACCAUGUUCUUAAAUCACCAGGAAGCAGGAGGAUAUCAAGUAACUGCCCAUGAGUUUCCAAGAUGCUCAUGCAUUGUUGGCAAGGACUUUGGUGUCAGUUCUCCAAGGAGAUCCACAGCAAACUCCUGACCUGGAGCCUUCCAGCAGAUUUCCCUGGAGAAAGUGGAGAUAGUGGGUGAGGCCUUGCCAAAGCAAAGUGGCUGACAGAGUGACCUAGCUGACACGGGUUGCAGCCAUGGGUAACAAAUUCAGCAGUGAUGUCCCUGGGUAUGGAGCUCAGGCAUUGUAUCUGUACCAAGGAGGCACAAGUGGCUGUUGAGCUGUAGCUCUCUAACUCCUCUGCAAGGCUCAAGAGAUGUGCAACGCUUUGCUGUUGGCUUGAUAAGAGGAAAUGCUGAUUUCCUGUGAGUGAGCAAAGGUGGCCAUGGCCUUCCUUGAAGAACCUGAUCCUGCACCAUGGAAUAAAACAUUUCAACAAAAAACCAAGCAUCUGCCUCAAAGUAGGCCAGGUGGAGGAGCCAGGUGUCAGUGGCGGAAAGAAGGAGGGAGGAAGGCUCUGGGAUCAUCAGCCAUCCACGCAGCGCUGCCUUUAGCCAGAGCAAUCUGCAGAUGUAUGUGAUGUCAUUCCUCCUGGCAACUGAGAGAAAAAGAGAGAGAGAGAACCUCAUUGCAGGAAACAAGAGCCCUUUUCUGGGGGUACCAUUCUUCCUCUUUAACUGCUGUUAACCCAAGACAAAGUUUUCAGCACAGAAACACCUCCAUGAAACAGAGCUGGAAAGAAGAGAAACAACAGAUCCCUGUGAGC